AUGAAUAUCCUCGUAUGGAACUGUUGGGGGUUGGGGUUGGACCCGACAGUGGGCGAAUUGAGGGACCUCAUACGGUCAUACAACCCAGCGGUGGUGUUUGUGAGCGAGACAAAGAAGUCGGCGAGAGCCAUGGAUAAAGUUAAAUGGAGUUUGGGAUUUCGGAAUGGUGUUGCAGUGGGUUGUGCGGGGAGGAGUGGAGGCCUAGCUUUA
RNAcentral lists this ribosomal RNA (210 nucleotides) under Triticum aestivum (bread wheat). RNAcentral's name for it is "partial small subunit ribosomal RNA". The record is from RNAcentral. Lineage: Eukaryota; Viridiplantae; Streptophyta; Magnoliopsida; Poales; Poaceae.